This 436-nucleotide ribosomal RNA is filed under the name Staphylococcus aureus. Its description in RNAcentral is "bacterial SSU rRNA". It matches the Rfam family "Bacterial small subunit ribosomal RNA", at positions 956 to 1392 of the family's 1533-position model. The record is from RNAcentral. Lineage: Bacteria; Bacillati; Bacillota; Bacilli; Caryophanales; Staphylococcaceae.
UGAACGCGAAGAACCUUACCAAGUCUUGACAUCCCUAUGAAUAACGGGUAAUGCCGUUAGUACUUCGGUACAUAGGAGACAGGUGGUGCAUGGUUGUCGUCAGCUCGUGUCGUGAGAUGUUGGGUUAAGUCCCGCAACGAGCGCAACCCUUAUCUUUAGUAGCCAGCAGUAAGAUGGGCACUCUAGGGAGACUGCCAGGGAUAACCUGGAGGAAGGUGGGGAUGACGUCAAAUCAUCAUGCCCCUUAUGACUUGGGCUACACACGUGCUACAAUGGCGUAAACAAAGUGAAGCGAAGUCGUGAGGCCAAGCAAAUCACAAAAAUAACGUCUCAGUUCGGAUUGUAGUCUGCAACUCGACUACAUGAAGCUGGAAUCGCUAGUAAUGGCGCAUCAGCUACGGCGCCGUGAAUACGUUCCCGGGUCUUGUACACACCG